CAGGACGAAAAGCAUCUGGACAAAGGGGCGGAGCCGGUAUAUGAGUGGAUGAUGGGACGUGACACUGAUCUUCACCUGGACGUCUUGAUGGACCGUCUCCUGCUUCUUCUGUAAAAAGUAGAGGAAGUGACAUCAUCGAGGACGAGAAGCUGUGGACAAAGGGGCGGAGCCAGGGCUCUUGUGGUGGCUGUAGUUGUGACACUGACCUUCACCUGGACUGGCCCCUGCUUCAUGCCUGUGCUUAUUCUGUAAAAAGUAGAGAGGAAGUGACAUUAUCGAGCAGGAUGAGAAGCUCCUGAACAAGGAGCAAGAGAGGAUCUGGACAAAGGGAUGUUUGGUUUCUUUAUUUAACAUGUUGAUGAUUCAUGGAUAUAGAUGAUUGAGACCAAACAAUAAAACAUUGCAAAGAUACGAAUGAUGAUUACCACCGUUAAUAUCCUAAGAUCCAGUGUGUUGUAUGAACAAAAAGGGCAAAGUAGCUUGUUAAGAAAAUAUCAUCCCUAACAUAAAAUCAAUAACAGGUCAUUUCUGUUCAUUGUAGUUUAAAUGAUGUCAGUCGGUGUGUUGGUUGGUCUGUAGGUGGGGGAGUCGGUGUUUCU
Long non-coding RNA from Scophthalmus maximus (turbot), 599 nucleotides. RefSeq lists it as uncharacterized. The transcript has 5 exons. The record is from RefSeq and is a predicted model, not a curated record. Lineage: Eukaryota; Metazoa; Chordata; Actinopteri; Pleuronectiformes; Scophthalmidae.